RNAcentral lists this ribosomal RNA (232 nucleotides) under uncultured bacterium. RNAcentral describes it as "partial 16S ribosomal RNA". It matches the Rfam family "Bacterial small subunit ribosomal RNA", at positions 118 to 353 of the family's 1533-position model. The record is from RNAcentral.
UGAGCAACCUGCCCUUAGCUCUGGGAUAACCCCGGGAAACCGGGGCUAAUACCGGAUACGAGUCUGAGCGGCAUCACACGGACUGGAAAGUUUUUCGGCUAAGGAUGGGCUCGCGGCCUAUCAGCUUGUUGGUGGGUGAUGGCCUACCAAGGCGACGACGGGUAGCCGGCCUGAGAGGGUGACCGGCCACACUGGGACUGAGACACGGCCCAGACUCCGUACGGGAGCAGCA